RNAcentral lists this ribosomal RNA (497 nucleotides) under uncultured bacterium. Its description in RNAcentral is "partial 16S ribosomal RNA". It matches the Rfam family "Bacterial small subunit ribosomal RNA", at positions 899 to 1397 of the family's 1533-position model. The record is from RNAcentral.
ACUCAAAGGAAUUGACGGGGGCCCGCACAAGCGGCGGAGCAUGCGGAUUAAUUCGAUGCAACGCGAAGAACCUUACCAAGGCUUGACAUAAGGCGAAAACUGGCAGAGAUGUCAGGUCCGCAAGGGCGCCUUACAGGUGGUGCAUGGUUGUCGUCAGCUCGUGUCGUGAGAUGUUGGGUUAAGUCCCGCAACGAGCGCAACCCUCGUUCUAUGUUGCCAGCACAUAAUGGUGGGGACUCAUAGGAGACUGCCGGGGUCAACUCGGAGGAAGGUGGGGAUGACGUCAAAUCAUCAUGCCCCUUAUGUCUUGGGCUUCACGCAUGCUACAAUGGCCAGUACAAAGGGCUGCGAGACCGUAAGGUGGAGCGAAUCCCAAAAAGCUGGUCUCAGUUCGGAUUGGGGUCUGCAACUCGACCCCAUGAAGUCGGAGUCGCUAGUAAUCGCAGAUCAGCAACGCUGCGGUGAAUACGUUCCCGGGCCUUGUACACACCGCCCGU